Molecule: RNase P RNA, 308 nt
Filed under: Candidatus Bathyarchaeota archaeon
Lineage: Archaea; Thermoproteati; Candidatus Bathyarchaeota
Description: RNase P RNA component
Rfam family: Archaeal RNase P
About the family: Ribonuclease P (RNase P) is a ubiquitous endoribonuclease, found in archaea, bacteria and eukarya as well as chloroplasts and mitochondria. Its best characterised activity is the generation of mature 5'-ends of tRNAs by cleaving the 5'-leader elements of precursor-tRNAs. Cellular RNase Ps are ribonucleoproteins.
Source: RNAcentral
GCGAGUUGGUGUGUGGCUUUCGAGCCUUAACAAUGGAAGGCUUGAGGAAACUCCGCCCACGCGUAGAAUUGCAGCGCCUGCAAGGGCGCAAGGUGAGAACCUUGGCAACGGAGCAGAAACGAAACGUCCGCUCGGCAAGCGACGAUGAUGCAUAUAAAAUUGUUGAGGAUGCCAAGCGAGAAACGGUGAAACGGCCGACCUGCAAGUGGAAAGGGCAAACAGACGCUGAUGAGGACUCUACCCGAAGCGCGGGUAGCCCGAUUAGCCGAAUGCCACAGUCAACUAAAGGCGGGUUACAGCCAACACGC